UACGGAGGAUGCGAGCGUUAUCCGGAUUUAUUGGGUUUAAAGGGUGCGUAGGCGGGCUGUUAAGUCAGCGGUAAAAUCGUGGAGCUCAACUCCAUCCAGCCGUUGAAACUGGCGGGCUGGAGUUGGAGAGAAGUACGCGGAAUGCGCGGUGUAGCGGUGAAAUGCUUAGAUAUCGCGCAGAACCCCGAUUGCGAAGGCAGCAUACCGGCGGCGAUCUGACGCUGAGGCACGAAAGCGUGGGUAUCGAACAGG
Molecule: ribosomal RNA, 252 nt
Filed under: uncultured Bacteroidales bacterium
Lineage: Bacteria; Pseudomonadati; Bacteroidota; Bacteroidia; Bacteroidales
Description: partial 16S ribosomal RNA
Rfam family: Bacterial small subunit ribosomal RNA
Source: RNAcentral